This 612-nucleotide ribosomal RNA is filed under the name Triticum aestivum (bread wheat). Its description in RNAcentral is "partial small subunit ribosomal RNA". The record is from RNAcentral. Lineage: Eukaryota; Viridiplantae; Streptophyta; Magnoliopsida; Poales; Poaceae.
AUGACCGGCCAUGUCAUUGAGCUUGACCUUCAUGCACGGUACAUCCGGUCUUCCCUGGAAGGUGAGAUCAGUUCUUCUCUCAAAACCCUGCAGCAUCUGCAACACCUCGACCUUGGCGGGGAUUACCAUCUCACCGGGCGUCGAGGCCGCCUGCCAGGCUUCUUAGGGUCUCUUGGCAAUCUGCGGUACCUCAACCUUUCGGGCCUGAAUUUUUCUGGCACGGUGCCCCAUCAGCUUGGCAACCUCUCGAGGUUGCGAUACCUUGAUCUGACAUCUUAUGGUCUGUACUCAGAAGAUCUCCGGUGGCUGUCACAGCUCUCUUUGCUCAAGCAUCUUGACAUGAGUUUUGCGAACCUCAGCGCCGUGAUAGGCUGGGUUGACACAGUGAACAUGCUGUCCUCUCUUGAGGUCCUCAGGCUAUCAACAUGUUCGCUUAUUACCACAAACCACUAUAUGCCUCGCUCGAAUCUCACCAGGCUCAAGAUCCUCGACCUCUUUCGGAACUCCAUUGAAAUGCAGUUUGACGCUAUUAGCUGGGUUUGGGACGCAAGCAGCCUGAAAUAUCUCAACCUUGAGUCCAACCAUAUAUAUGGUGUGUUUCCUGCACAAUAG